RNAcentral lists this ribosomal RNA (373 nucleotides) under uncultured Glomeromycotina. Its description in RNAcentral is "bacterial SSU rRNA". It matches the Rfam family "Eukaryotic small subunit ribosomal RNA", at positions 569 to 944 of the family's 1831-position model. Lineage: Eukaryota; Fungi; Glomeromycota. The record is from RNAcentral.
AGCAGCCGCGGUAAUUCCAGCUCCAAUAGCGUAUAUUAAAGUUGUUGCAGUUAAAAAGCUCGUAGUUGAAUUUUGGAUCGGGCAGCGUGGUCCGCUCAAAUGGGCGAGUACUGCGGUUCGCACGGUCUCACCUUCUGGCGAGACGGUAUGCUCUUAAAUGGGUGUCUCGUGGAGCCAGGACGAUUACCUUGAAAAAUUAGAGUGCUCAAAGCAGGCUCAGGCUUGAAUAGAUUAGCAUGGAAUAAUGGAAUAGGACUCGUGGUUCUAUUUCGUUGGUUUCUAGGAUCGCGGUAAUGAUUAAUAGGGAUAGUUGGGGGCAUUAGUAUUCAAUUGUCAGAGGUGAAAUUCUUGGAUUUAUUGAAGACUAACUACU